This is a long non-coding RNA of Poeciliopsis prolifica (blackstripe livebearer), 331 nucleotides long. RefSeq lists it as uncharacterized. The record is from RefSeq and is a predicted model, not a curated record. NCBI's taxonomy places the organism in Eukaryota, Metazoa, Chordata, Actinopteri, Cyprinodontiformes, Poeciliidae. The transcript is spliced from 4 exons.
CAUCAUCUGCAUUCAAAACACGUUCGGCAAACAUACGGAGUCAUCUUGACCCACUGUUCAGAAGAGCUCUGCCCUCAUUCCUAAAGACUGGAGCAAUAAGAUUCAUGUCAGGAUCAAUUAUCAACUCUGUGGACCUUGAAUUUGAAUCAUCAUCUACUCCUAAUGAUACACAAAUUAUAGAGGUUUUGGUGAACGAUAAUUCAAGCGUCACAGAAUUCAAGAUACUACAAGAAACGAUUGUUAUUGGUGACCCAGCAACCACAACAGAAGCUCCAACCACCACCACAGUGGCUCCAACCACAACCACUGCUGCUCCAACCACAACAACAGC